RNAcentral lists this ribosomal RNA (2716 nucleotides) under metagenome. Its description in RNAcentral is "bacterial LSU rRNA". It matches the Rfam family "Bacterial large subunit ribosomal RNA". The record is from RNAcentral.
AGGGCGCAGGGCGAAUGCCUUGGCACUGGGAGCCGAUGAAAGACGUGAUAAGCUGCGAUAAGCUUCGGGGAGCUGCAAAUAAGCAUUGAUCCGGAGAUUUCUGAAUGAGGAAACUCACCUGGGUUCAUACUCAGGUACGUUAUACUGAACUUCAAAAUAGGUAUAUCGAGGGAACCGCCUGAACUGAAACAUCUAAGUAGGGCGAGGAAGAGACAUCAAACGAGAUUCCGUAAGUAGUGGCGAGCGAACGCGGAAGAGGGCAAACCGAGAGUAGAAAUACUUUCGGGGUACGGACUGCUUUUAAGACUCAAUCUGUUAACCGAACGGCAUGGGAAGGCCGGUCAGAGAGUGUGAGAACCACGUAGGUGAAAACGGAGAGAGCUGCGCAGGAUCCAGAGUACGGCCAGACACGUGAAACCUGGUCGGAAUACGGGGGGACCACCCUCCAACCCUAAAUACUACCCAGUGACCGAUAGCGUAUAGUACUGUGAAGGAAAGGUGAAAAGCACCCCGGGAGGGGAGUGAAAAAGAACCUGAAACCCUGUGCCUACAAGCACCUAGAGCACGUCAAUGUGUGAUAGGGUACUUUUUGUAGAACGGUCCGGCGAGCGAUUGUAUGCAGCAAGGUUAAGGUCUUAAGGACUGGAGCCGAAGCGAAAGCGAGUUUGAAAAGGGCGUUAAGUUGCAUAUAAUGGGCCCGAAACCGGGUGACCUACCCAUGGUCAGGUUGAAGUGGAAGUAAAAUUCCAUGGAGGACCGAACCGACCUCCGUUGAAAAGGCGGCGGAUGAACUGUGGGUAGCGGAGAAAUUCCAAUCGAACCCGGAGAUAGCUGGUUCUCCCCGAAAUAGUUUUAGGACUAGCCUCAAGUUAGAUACCUGGAGGUAAAGCACUGAAUAGCCUAGCGGCCGAGAGGUUAGCGAAGCUUAUCAAACUCAGAAUGCCAGAGUAUUGAUGCUUGGGAGUCAGACAGUGUCAGAUAAAUGUCAUUGUCAAAAGGGAAACAGCCCAGAUCUACAGCUAAGGUCCCAAAGUCAGGUUAAGUGGAAAACGAUGUGAAGAUACGCAGACAACCAGGAUGUUGGCUCAGAAGCAGCCACUCAUUCAAAGAGUGCGUAAUAGCUCACUGGUCGAGCGUCUUUGCGCGGAGAAUUUAACGGGGCUAAACCUGGCACCGAAGCUUAGGCAAUGUAGAAAUACAUUGGGUAGGGGAGCGUUGUAUACGCGGUGAAACAGUAGCGCAAGCGGCUGUGGAGUGUAUAGAAGUGAGAAUGCCGGAAUGAGUAGCGCGAAUGCAGUGAGAAUCUGCAUGGCCGAAAGCCUCAGGUUUCUGGAGGAAGGUUCGUCCGCUCCAGGUUAGUCGGGAGCUAAGGUGAGGCCUAACGGCGUAGCCGAUGCACAGACGGUAGAGAUUCCGUCACCACCAAAAGAGUUAAACACAGGGACACAUUUGAAGUCUCGGAGCCGGGUGUUGGUUCCGGUAGCGAUCGAGGGAAGUUAGUACCGAAGUCCGGGAUGGAAGAUGGCGAGAAAAGCUGUGUGUAUUUCUGCGGUGCCCGUACCGCAAACCGACACAGGUAGGUAGGAAGAAGAUUCUAAGGCCAACGGGAGAAGGGUUGUUAAGGAACUCGGCAAAUUGACCCCGUAACUUCGGGAGAAGGGGUGCUCCAGAGAUGGAGCCGCAGAGAAUCGGCCCAAGCAACUGUUUACCAAAAACACAGGUUUGUGCUAAAUCGAAAGAUGACGUAUACGAGCUGACGCCUGCCCGGUGCUGGAAGGUUAAGAGGAGAUGUGCAAGCAUUGAAUCGAAGCCCCAGUGAACGGCGGCCGUAACUAUAACGGUCCUAAGGUAGCGAAAUUCCUUGUCAGGUAAGUUCUGACCCGCAUGAAAGGCGUAAUGAUUUGGGCACUGUCUCAACAGCCCGCCCGGCGAAAUUGUAGUACCGGUGAAGAUGCCGGUUACCCGCGACAAGACGGAAAGACCCCAUGGAGCUUUACUGUAGCCUAAUAUUGGGUUUCGAUGUUGCAUGCACAGGAUAGAUGGGACACAGGGAAACAAUCGCUUUGGCGGUUGCGGAGUGGCCGUUGGGAUACCAUCCUUGCGAUAUUGGAAUUCUAACCUGCGGCUCUGAAUCGAGUCGGGGGACAUUGUUAGGUGGGCAGUUUGACUGGGGCGGUCGCCUCCUAAAAAGUAACGGAGGCGUUCAAAGGUUCGCUCAGCUUGAACGGAAAUCAAGCAAAAGAGUGCAAACGCAGAAGCGAGCCUAACUGCGAGACUGACGGGUCGAGCAGUAACGAAAGUUGGAGUUAGUGAUCCGGUGGUAUGUGAGUGGAAAUGCCAUCGCUCAACGGAUAAAAGUUACCCUGGGGAUAACAGGCUGAUCUCCCCCAAGAGUCCACAUCGACGGGGAGGUUUGGCACCUCGAUGUCGGCUCAUCGCAUCCUGGGGCUGUAUUCGGUCCCAAGGGUUUGGCUGUUCGCCAAUUAAAGCGGUACGCGAGCUGGGUUCAGAACGUCGUGAGACAGUUCGGUCCCUAUCUGUCGUGGGCGCAGGAUAUUUGAUGGGAGCUGUUCCUAGUACGAGAGGACCGGAGCGGACGUACCUCUGGCGCACCAGUUGUUCUGCCAAGAGCAUAGCUGGGCAACUAUGUACGGAUCGGAUAAACGCUGAAAGCAUCUAAGCGUGAAGCCGACCCAAAGAUAAGAUAUCCCAUUGU